RNAcentral lists this long non-coding RNA (682 nucleotides) under Marmota monax (woodchuck). The record is from RNAcentral. Lineage: Eukaryota; Metazoa; Chordata; Mammalia; Rodentia; Sciuridae.
UAAAGAUCGGACCCAGUGCCUCAUAUGUGCCAGGCAAGCACUUUGCCUCUGAGCCACAGUCCCAACCCAAGGGGAGACAUUUUUUAAACAAAAGUAUUUCCUGGAAAAGAUGGUUGAUUUGUUUUUCUUAGAGCUACUUCCUUCUCACCUCCCCACCAUUUCUCCAAUCUAUUCCUCCAUCUCUAACAUCCCUUCUUUUGGUACUAUAAAUUCUACAGAAAGCCCUCAGCAAUGCUUCUCCUCUCCUAGGGUUCCCUUUGAUAUGAUAAGGAGUUAAUGCCUUUAUGUCCAGGUAGAGUGAACCUGUGAAAUUCCUAUCCUUUUGCCCUAAUAUUCCACUCCCAUAAAAGCUUUCUGUGCCCUUGAUCCCCCAGAAGAUGGAUAUUAGACAGGCCUCAUCUCUUCCUCAGAAGCUGGCUUUGAAUAAACCUGGUUUUCUACACACUGAAUUUUUUUUUUUUUUUUUUGUACCGGGGAUUGAACUCAGGCGUAUUCCACCACUGAGCCACAUCCCAGUCCUUUUUUGUAUUUAUUUAGAGACCAGAUCUCAAUGAGUUGCUUAGGGCCUCACUAAAUUGCUGAGGCUACCUUUGAACUCAUGAUCCUCCUGCCUCGGCCUCCAGAGCUGCUGGGAUUACAGGCGUACACCACUGCACCCAGCCCUUCUAAACACUGAAUAUUU